This 555-nucleotide long non-coding RNA is filed under the name Pan troglodytes (chimpanzee). RNAcentral's name for it is "lincRNA". Lineage: Eukaryota; Metazoa; Chordata; Mammalia; Primates; Hominidae. The record is from RNAcentral.
CCAGAUGGACAGUCCCAAAGAGAAUGGUUUGUUUCCUUUCGUCUUCCUCCACGAUGCAUUUUACGAUUGCAGAGGGUCCUGCUUGCCAUGUGUUUGCUUCUAAUCUACUCGUUUGUGGAACGCACACGCUGUGCCAGGCAUUGUGCACAGAGAGACCCAGUUCCUGCCCUCUUGGAGUUUAUAUGACAUGAGCUGAAGACAGACAAGAAGCAAGUGUAAGAGCUACCAGAGGGAGGAAAGUGGAAGCUACCAGAUGGAGGAAGCAUAAACCAGGUCCUGAUCCCUGAUUAACUGAGAAUCAGCCAGCUUGGGAAGGGGAUGGCUGCGCAAGCCCACAGAACGCAAACUCCCAGAGGAGGCAGGGGUAGGAAAGCUCUUGGCCGUGGCCUGAUUGUCUGGGAGACAGGAGUCAAGAUGGCUUGGUUUCAACAAACUGGCUUUGAUUACUUGGCGUUUGGCUCUGUGCUCUCUGGCCAGGUCAGCCUGACCCAAGGUUGUCACCCCAGAGGACUGUGAAAUAACAAGUGCAGUUAACUGGCCACUGCUGAUCUGCGC